ACCGAACCGCAUGGUUUGGUGAGGAAAUGGAUUCCGCUUCGGGAGGGCUUCGCGGCCUAUCAGCUAGUUGGUGGGGUAACGGCCCACCAAGGCAUCGACGGGUAGCUGGUCUGAGAGGACGAUUCAGCCACACUGGGACUGAGACACGGCCCAGACUCCUACGGGAGGCAGCAGUGGGGAAUCUUGCGCAAUGGGCGAAAGCCUGACGCAGCAACGCCGCGUGGGGAUGAAGGCUCUCGGGUUGUAAACCCCUUUCAGCAGGGACGAAUCAAGACGGUACCUGCAGAAGAAGCCCCGGCUAACUACGUG
Molecule: ribosomal RNA, 309 nt
Filed under: uncultured bacterium
Lineage: Bacteria
Description: bacterial SSU rRNA
Rfam family: Bacterial small subunit ribosomal RNA
Source: RNAcentral